This is a long non-coding RNA of Cryptotermes secundus, 5480 nucleotides long. RefSeq lists it as uncharacterized. The record is from RefSeq and is a predicted model, not a curated record. NCBI's taxonomy places the organism in Eukaryota, Metazoa, Arthropoda, Insecta, Blattodea, Kalotermitidae. The transcript is spliced from 2 exons.
AGUUGUGUUAUACCUUAACUGCACGCGGACCCAACUGUUGUUGAUAACGCCGAUGUACCUGAGCUGUAAACCGAAUUAAACUUAAGGCAUUUUUAUUUUUCAUGAGUUCUGCUUCCAAACACGUAAAUACUUUUUGCACGAACAGAAAUAGCAGAAACUAUUUAAAUGCACGUUUAGUGAGCGUAUUCAUUAAGCUUAUGAAUGGUUCGUUUGGUUCUAUCAGUCACCUCCUCGUGUAGUGAUCCAUGAUUAUGGGAACUGUAUGCAACGAGGUGCCCUAAGGCAAAUUAUACCAAUAUUACUCAACUACUGAACGCUACUGAAUGUAUCGUAUAUAAAUGGCUGUAAAGUAGGUACUUCGCUUUGCUCUUCGAUUUGAUUUGGAUCGGUAGCACGCAAUGACCGAUAAAGACAAUUGAUGGUAGUUAUACAAACGUACAAUGUGUGGGUUGUGCUAUGGUUGUGACCGUUGUGGCUCUAAGGAGCCUAAGGAGAGUGACAUAUGAGUUGGAAAUGUUUCUGGUAGGACUAAUGCAGUUAGACAGUGUCAGCAGUUUUUAAUUUACCUCGUGAGAAAUUAUGUAAACACUGUAAGAAAGAGAUUAUUGGAAGGAAAAUAUGUCUAUAUUAUCAGGACUGGAUGCAGCCUUACAUGAGCUCGGAAUGCUGAGUGCUGUAACAGAAAGCAGGCAGGAUUAUUUGCGAGAGCAGAAGCAAUGUUACCGUAUUCCUAACCAGCCUGCUCCCAAUGAGUUUUACAUGAAUACCCGCUAUAGGACAAGUGGGGCCAUUCAUCAACAUAAAUACACCAUAGUGCGACACAAGCCCUAUACAGUGCCAUGCUGGGGUCGAGAAGAGAGGACUCGCACAAAGAGUGAAAACUCUGAUGUGGAUUUGGAUAGCCAUUAUGGAAUUGCUCUAUCCUCAGUUUCUGCCCAGCUACUUGAAGUCAGUAAUCUUCACAAAUCUCGAUCCAUGGAAAGUGUUACUAUAAAUGUGUCUGAUGAUGAAAGUGCCUCUCCACCACUGCAUGAGGUCGAGUCUGUUUCCAGCAAAAUACAGCAACUGCAGGUUAAGGAAUGAAUAGGCAGCUGUAUGUUUUGUAUUCACAACUGUGAUCCAUUAUGAUAUAAUUCACUGUGGGCCAUCUUGUGAGGGUUGUAUUUCUUGAUGGUACAAUUCUGCUUUUAGAUGUUUCUUUGGAGGAAAAUGACAUACUGCUAUGGAGUCUCGAAUUUCUAAAGUAUUUAUUAUAUGAAUUUGUCAGGCCAUUUGGCAUUGAAUAUACAGGGUGUAGCUGAAAGGUGUGGACAAACUUUGGGCACAAGUUCCACGUACCAAACAAGAAAAAAUGUCCAUAUCAACAUGUGUCCAGAACAUUUAAUUUGUAAGUUGUGCUGAAAGAGUAAAAUUAUAUUAAGUGCUCAAAAUGUCUUCCAUAAGAUUCAGUGCAUGCUUUGACAUGUCUUAUCAUGGAUCAAUGCAUCCCUUCAGAGAUUCUGGUGUAGUUGCAGAGAGUCUGACAGACAUUCACAAUGCAGUGGUGAAGUGCCUCUUCAUUAUCAACAGGAUCUGCACACACAAGGGUCUUUAGGUGUCCCUACAGAUAAAAAUCCAGUGGAUUCAAAAUCUGGCAAGCGUGAAGGCCAUGCAGAGGGUCCUCCUAUACCUAUCCCUCACAUGAGAAGUGUUAAAAUGUGCCAGAGCACCAUCAUGCAUUUUUUCAGGUAUAACUCACAAAGUAAAUGUUUAUGGACAUGUGUUAAUGUGAACUUUUUUCGUGUUUUGGUAUGUGGAACUGGUGCCCAAGGUUUGUCCUUACCUUUUAAUUACAAUGUGUAUAGUGAAUUUAUUUUAGGCCAUAAUGCAAGUGAUAAACCACCUGAGUGGAAAAGACGAGAUGCUCUUCCUCUCAAAUCAGAGCACUGCGACCCAGGCUGGUAGUGGAACUGACAUACCUACAGCUCAAACAUACUUAAAAUAAAACUUACCCAGAUUAGCCCACAGGAGAUGCUAGAAAUGCACACCACAUUCUUUAUACUUCCUUAAUAAGUUCAUAUUCACACAUUAAAAUUUUUAUUGUAGAAUAGAGUAAACUUUAAAAUUGAAAACCCAGUUUCCUAUGCAAGACAUCUGAGGGACUUUCAAAGAAAGUGUUCAUUUGGUGUGUGUGUGUGUGUGUGUGUGUGAGUGAGUGAGUGAGUGAGUGUAGUUAUGACCCUCCAGUCUUUUUACUUUUCUUGCAGAAACACUUUUCAUGUAGAUACCAUUUGUGAACAUUGAUUGUUUAACUAGGUAUUUAACAUGUGACAUUUUGACACAGGAGAUGACACACCUGCGUAAAUGAUUGCUUAUCAGAUUUGUCUGCCACAUAAUGUAUAAGAUUACUUCACAGUAACUCUUAUGAUCUGCUGGGUCAACAUUGAAGAGAGGCUGGAAUUGGUGCUAGGUUAGAAAAUUCCCUUGACAGCAGCAAGAACAGAAGCAUUUCUAGUAUUUGCUAUAUUCUGGGUAAGUUUUCACUGUAAUGUAUUUUCACUAGCAGUCCCGAUCUCCUCAGCUCAACUUGGUUGGAGAGAACCAUCUGAUUCUUUCUCCUGAGUGGUCCAGUGAUUUAUAUGAAAUUUUAAAAUAAUCCAUUGUACUUGUUUCAUUAAAUUGAAAUAAGAAAAUUAUUAAAAACUUGGACCAAAUUGUAUUGAAAGGGAUAUUGUUUCUGUGUAUGAUUUUUCCUUCUCUGACUCUGCUGGCUUUGGAGCAAUUUUAGGACUGUUAUAAUAUAACUGGCCUGUGUGAAUUGGUGUUAUGUUUCUAAACAUGGAAAUGUGUAAGGAUUUACAAUUUAAUAUUCAGGCUUUUCAAGUGUAAAGUUGACUCUAUUUGGUGCAGAAAAUUAGGGUGCCAACAUUGUGUCUGUAACUAAUUUUACCGGAGAUAAUGUAUUACAAUUUCUGUUUCCAGAUUUGCAUAUUGUGAUAAUCCUUGUAUAUGUACUUGUGUGUCUACUAUUGCUAAUGUGUUGAAGGGCAACACAUACCUGAAUGGAGUGCACAUUUUGUAUAGUAUUGUAUAGUAUAUGAUAGCACUUGGAUACAAGGGUAUGUAAAGAAAUGCAGCACUUGACAAAUCCUAGGUACUGGGUUGUCAUGAUGCCUUGAAAUUACAUUCUGGCACCUUCAUUUUUCAUUAUUAUUGUGUCACAUUUUAUUGAUGUAAGUAUUCAAUAUAUUUUAUAGCCAUUCUAAAAUAUAGAGGUGGUGCAUAACUCUGGAUGAAAUUUGCUGAGAUCUGGAAAAAAUGUUAACAUAUGGUGAUGUUUUUUAUUUCUUUUGCUUGGAAUAUUAUGCAGUUUGAUUGAGAUAUUCUUGAGUAUGCAAUAUUGACCAUGCACUAUACAUAACUUGGGAAUGAUGGGGGAAUUUGUUUAUAAGAACUAUUUGGACUCUUUGGGGGUAGUAUGCAUUAUGAUUGCAAUUAAGUAAUGUUUGAGCCUUGAAUGAAGCUUUUGAAAAGAAAUAAUAAUUAUAAUUUAAAUACACACACAGAAAAUAAUGUGUUAGAGUACAGCAGUACAAAGUAGGAAAAUGAAAGUCCCCAUAGCAUGAAGGCAUAUAGACUGUAUAGGUAUAACACCACAGAUUCACAGUCCUAGCACUAAAUGAGGGUUCACAUUUUCCUGUACCUGCAUCCUUGUGAAAAUUCCCUAUCCAUUACCAUAAUGCAUAUUAGAUAAGAGAGUAGGAGUGUUUCAGCCAUUUUGGACCUGUGGGUCGGCAGCGAUAGGACUAACAGUAAUAUUAACACAGACUGGAUACUAUUUGUGGAGCACAAACCACUUUGUACAAAAUCGCCAACUUAAUUUAUACAGUAGAAUAGAAUAGAAUAUAUGAGGGGUAGGCCUUCUCGGCCCUUGCACCGCGACCUUAGGUCUGUUGUGCUUCCCAUUUUUUAAUUAUUCCCUCAGCAACCCCACGCUUCGGAUGAAGCACAGGAUUUUGGAUGUGGGGAUGGCAGAAUAGUCACUUGGUUACAUAAUAAUUUUUACAGUAACUGGUAAAUAAAAAGCAUGCUAUUCCAAAUCGGUUCUUUAAUAUGCAGAGACAGGGCAUAUGAUGAAUUUGUGUAAAUAAAUGUGUGUAUGAUUUUCAUAAAAUUGUACAUCUAAUAAAACUGUAUUUAUUUACUGUUUAGUAGUAUGAGCAUAUGAGUAACAUAUUGCUCCACACUACUUUACAUUCAUAUAUAUGCCAAGUACUGUAGCCGCUCGCUGACAUACAGUUGCCACGACUGUCGCUCAAGCUUGGUUCUUUGUCUCAGGGAUACUUGUGCUUCGGAUAUGGGAGUGGAACACACUUUGGAGUUAAUGAAUCACGGGGUCUCCAGAACACACCUUGUAUUAUUGUCUCCAUUAAUAUUGCUUACAGCGAUAGUACAUAUUAUGUUAGUCCUCCAAGCUAGCCUCUCCAUCUCUUUUAACUUUUGGCAGUGGCCACACCAAUUUGCUCCCAGCUCGCCAACCGUACACACUCACUAACCCCGACUGUCCCCUAAUGCUCUCUUCAGCGGCUUCUUUCAAGUACAGUCCACCUCCGCCGUUACUACCACAGACUGUAAUCCAAUUCUCUGUUCAACGACUUCUUUCAACUAUAGUCCACCUCCACUGUUACUACCACAGACUGUAAUCCAAUUCUCUGUUCAACGGCUUCUUUCAACUACAGUCCACCUCUGCUGUUACUAUCACAGACUGUAAUCCAAUUCUCUGUUCAGUGGCUUCUUUCAACUACAGUCCACCUUCGCUGUUACUAUCACAGACUGUAAUCCAGUUCUCUGUUCAGCGGCUUCUUUCAACUAGUUACAGGUUAUUCACUCUCAACAGACAUGAAUCGUCUGACAAUAUAGCGCUAUACUCAGGAAAGUACUACAGCCAUGAUACACAUGUAAGCACACUACUGUAAACUGACAUUCAAGGCAACAACAUCUCUACAAAGAGAACACUGCUCCAAUUGUCAACCAAGAGUUAAGCAUAUUUAUGCAACACUGUGCACUUACAUGCAUUCUUAUCUCUUUAUAAACACAGUCCAUAAUUUUCAUACUUGAAAGACUCUCAGUAAAAAUCUUUCCUCAGGGCAUACACAAUCAAUAUUCACAUACUGAAACCAGUGGUUCAUCUUUUCAUAACUGGGCACUUAUCCGAAUUAUACUAAAAAGUAACAAUGGGAAAUUACGACAAAAUUAACUUAUCUGGCUUGAUAAUACUGUGAUACUCCAUAACCUCUGUUCGUUAUCAUUACCAUAACUCUUGCAUGAUAUUUAUCCCCAUGCCCCGUUACUGGCACUCAUACAAUCGGCAGAUUUGUCAAAGGUUAAGAGGGGUCGACUUUGUCCUAAGGGCUGUAUUACAGAUUGGCCCACGGGCAUCACUUCCUCGUAUUCAGGCCGAGUCAGAUGACUUAGCGGUCCUGAACUCCUUUAGUGAUUUC